AACGAACGCUGGCGGCAUGCCUAACACAUGCAAGUCGAACGAGAACUUCGGGCUUAGUGGCGCACGGGUGGGUAACGCGUGGGAACUUGCACUUAGGUUAGGUAUCAUUCCCCGAAAGGGGUGUUAAUACCGGUUAAUGUCUUAGGAGCUAAGAUGUAUCGCCUUGGGAUGGGCCCGGGUUGGAUUAGCGAGUUGGUAGGGUACAAGCCUACCAAGGCGACGAUGCAUAGCUGGUAUGUGAGGAGGAUCAGCCACACUGGGACUGAGACACGGCCCAGUCUGGUACGGGAGGGUGGGGUAGAGAAUAUUGGGCGAGGAACCAAGGUCUGAUACAGCAGUGCGGCGUGAGUGGGGAAGGGCGUUGGGUUGUAAUGCUCUUUUACCCGAGAUGAUAAUGACAGUACCGGGUAAAUAAGCACCGGCUAACUACGUG
Molecule: ribosomal RNA, 433 nt
Filed under: uncultured bacterium
Lineage: Bacteria
Description: partial 16S ribosomal RNA
Rfam family: Bacterial small subunit ribosomal RNA
Source: RNAcentral